AACGCACAUUGCGCCCCUUGGUAUUCCGAGGGGCAUGCCUGUUCGAGCGUCAUUACAACCCUCAAGCUCUGCUUGGUAUUGGGCGUCACCAGAGAUGGUGCGCCUUAAAGUCAGUGGCGGUGCCAUCUUGGCUCUAAGCGUAGUAAUUCUCUCGCUAUAGACGUCUCGUGGAUGCUUGCCAGCGAACCCCAAUUUUUUUAAGGUUGACCUCGGAUCAGGUAGGGAUACCCGCUGAACUUAA
This 241-nucleotide unclassified non-coding RNA is filed under the name uncultured fungus. RNAcentral's name for it is "sequence contains ITS2". The stretch from base 1 to 52 matches the Rfam family "5.8S ribosomal RNA", at positions 103 to 154 of the family's 154-position model. The record is from RNAcentral. Lineage: Eukaryota; Fungi.